GAUGAACGCUGGCGGCGUGCCUAAUACAUGCAAGUCGAGCGAAACUUCUUUAUCACCGAGUGCUUGCACUCACCGAUAAAGAGUUAAGUGGCGAACGGGUGAGUAACACGUGGGCAACCUGCCCAAAAGAGGGGGAUAACACUUGGAAACAGGUGCUAAUACCGCAUAACCAUAGUUACCGCAUGGUAACUAUGUAAAAGGUGGCUAUACUACCGCUUUUGGAUGGGCCCGCGGCGCAUUAGCUAGUUGGUAGGGUAAAGGCUUACCAAGGCAAUGAUGCGUAGCCGAAUUGAGAGGUUGAUCGGCCACAUUGGGACUGAGGCACGGCCCAAACUCCUACGGGAGGCAGCAGUAGGGAAUCUUCCACAAUGGGCGAAAGCCUGAUGGAGCAACGCCGCGUGGGUGAAGAAGGUCUUCGGAUCGUAAAACCCUGUUGUUAGAGAAGAAAGUGCGUGAGAGUAACUGUUCACGUUUCGACGGUAUCUAACCAGAAAGCCACGGCUAACUACGUG
This 512-nucleotide ribosomal RNA is filed under the name uncultured bacterium. Its description in RNAcentral is "partial 16S ribosomal RNA". It matches the Rfam family "Bacterial small subunit ribosomal RNA", at positions 28 to 507 of the family's 1533-position model. The record is from RNAcentral.